CGGGAGGCAGCAGUUAGGAAUCUUCCACAAUGGGCGAAAGCCUGAUGGAGCAACGCCGCGUGCAGGAUGACGGCCUUCGGGUUGUAAACUGCUUUUGCACGGGAAGAUUAUGACGGUACCGUGCGAAUAAGGGUUGGCUAACUCCGUGCCAGCAGCCGCGGUAAGACGGAGAACCCAAGCGUUACCCGGAAUUAUUGGGCGUAAAGCGUUGCGUAGGCGGUUUGUUAAGUUUUCACUUAAAGAUCAAGGCUCAACCUUGGGAUUGGUGAAAAAACUGGCAAACUUGAGCAUAGUAGAGGCAAGUGGAAUUUGCGGUGUAGGAGUGAAAUCCGUAGAUAUCGCAAGGAACACCAAUGGCGAAGGCAGCUUGCUGGGCUAUUGCUGACGCUGAGGCACGAAAGCGUGGGGAGCGAACCGGAUUAGAUACCCGGGUAGUCCACGCCCUAAAC
This 449-nucleotide ribosomal RNA is filed under the name uncultured bacterium. Its description in RNAcentral is "bacterial SSU rRNA". It matches the Rfam family "Bacterial small subunit ribosomal RNA", at positions 342 to 807 of the family's 1533-position model. The record is from RNAcentral.